ACUUUAUACCGUGAAACUGCGAAUGGCUCAUUAAAUCAGUUAUCGUUUAUUUGAUAGUACCUUACUACAUGGAUACCUGUGGUAAUUCUAGAGCUAAUACAUGCUAAAAACCCCAACUUCGGAAGGGGUGUAUUUAUUAGAUAAAAAACCAAUGCCCUUCGGGGCUCCUUGGUGAUUCAUAAUAACUUAACGAAUCGCAUGGCCUUGCGCCGGCGAUGGUUCAUUCAAAUUUCUGCCCUAUCAACUUUCGAUGGUAGGAUAGUGGCCUACCAUGGUGGCAACGGGUAACGGGGAAUUAGGGUUCGAUUCCGGAGAGGGAGCCUGAGAAACGGCUACCACAUCCAAGGAAGGCAGCAGGCGCGCAAAUUACCCAAUCCCGACACGGGGAGGUAGUGACAAUAAAUACUGAUACGGGGCUCUUUUGGGUCUCGUAAUUGGAAUGAGUACAAUUUAAAUCCCUUAACGAGGAACAAUUGGAGGGCAAGUCUGGUGCCAGCAGCCGCGGUAAUUCCAGCUCCAAUAGCGUAUAUUAAAGUUGUUGCAGUUAAAAAGCUCGUAGUUGAACCUUGGGUCUGGCUGGCCGGUCCGCCUCACCGCGAGUACUGGUCCGGCUGGACCUUUCCUUCUGGGGAAUCCCAUGGCCUUCACUGGCUGUGGGGGGAACCAGGACUUUUACUGUGAAAAAAUUAGAGUGUUCAAAGCAGGCCUUUGCUCGAAUACAUUAGCAUGGAAUAAUAGAAUAGGACGUGUGGUUCUAUUUUGUUGGUUUCUAGGACCGCCGUAAUGAUUAAUAGGGAUAGUCGGGGGCGUCAGUAUUCAGCUGUCAGAGGUGAAAUUCUUGGAUUUGCUGAAGACUAACUACUGCGAAAGCAUUCGCCAAGGAUGUUUUCAUUAAUCAGGGAACGAAAGUUAGGGGAUCGAAGACGAUCAGAUACCGUCGUAGUCUUAACCAUAAACUAUGCCGACUAGGGAUCGGGCGGUGUUUUUAUGAUGACCCGCUCGGCACCUUACGAGAAAUCAAAGUUUUUGGGU
This 1032-nucleotide ribosomal RNA is filed under the name Aspergillus proliferans. RNAcentral's name for it is "SSU rRNA". It matches the Rfam family "Eukaryotic small subunit ribosomal RNA", at positions 71 to 1112 of the family's 1831-position model. Lineage: Eukaryota; Fungi; Ascomycota; Eurotiomycetes; Eurotiales; Aspergillaceae. The record is from RNAcentral.